AAAAGUAUAUCCUGUAUUUCCAAAAAGUUGUCUGUGAAUAACUCUUGAUAUUUUACCUUAUAUUUCUGUCUUUCUCCUAAAAGUUGUAUGCAAAAAUCAAAAAAAGGAACUGAGUUUAUGAUUGGACUCUAAAUAAAAGUAAAUUCAUUGUAUUUUUAUUAAGGUUUUAUUUCUUAGCUUAGUGGCAGCUUCAGAAGAAUUGUAUAGGGAAGCAGUCACUACUUCCACUUCAG
Molecule: long non-coding RNA, 233 nt
Organism: Sapajus apella (tufted capuchin)
Lineage: Eukaryota; Metazoa; Chordata; Mammalia; Primates; Cebidae
Exons: 2
Source: RefSeq, a predicted model, not a curated record